This 359-nucleotide unclassified non-coding RNA is filed under the name Hevea brasiliensis (rubber tree). Lineage: Eukaryota; Viridiplantae; Streptophyta; Magnoliopsida; Malpighiales; Euphorbiaceae. The record is from RNAcentral.
GAAGAAGAAGAAGAAGAAGAAGAUUCCGAUGAACUAGUGGUGGCUGCCGCCACAUUAACGCUUCCUAAGCUAAUCAAGGAAGCCAAAGACGGCAUGCUUCCUACAAGAACCACCAUGGAACCCAUCAAAAACCCAUCAAAAUAGGUCUCUAAACAGAGAAUUUAAAAAGAAUUCGACAAAUCAAUCGAAACAAUAAGGAAUGGUAAUAGCACUUACCUCUCUUCUCACGCAAACUUUGGGAAUUCUUAGAGAAAGAGAGAGACGAGACAGGACAGAGAGAUAUAUUUGGGGGUGACGAAAAAAAGCCAAAAAUGGGAAUUUGUGUGGCUGCUGCUGCUCUCUGCCUGUUAAAAUUUGUC